RNAcentral lists this ribosomal RNA (488 nucleotides) under uncultured bacterium. RNAcentral describes it as "bacterial SSU rRNA". It matches the Rfam family "Bacterial small subunit ribosomal RNA", at positions 32 to 507 of the family's 1533-position model. The record is from RNAcentral.
GACAACGCUGGCGGCGUGUCUUAAGCAUGCAAGUUGAGCGGCAAGGAGGAGAGAUCCUCCUAGAGCAGCGGACUGGUGAGUAACGCGUGGGUAAUCUAUCUUAGGCAUGGGGAUAGUCACUAGAAAUAGUGGGUAAUACCGAAUAAGUUCCAUAAGGGGAGGACUUAUGGAAGAAAGGUGCUACGGCACUGGCCUUAGGUGAGCUCGCGUCCCAUUAGCUAGUUGGUGAGGUAAAGGCCCACCAAGGCGAUGAUGGGUAGCCGGCCUGAGAGGGUGUACGGCCACACUGGGACUGAGAUACGGCCCAGACUCCUACGGGAGGCAGCAGCUAAGAAUAUUCCGCAAUGGACGGAAGUCUGACGGAGCGACGCCGCGUGGAUGAAGAAGGCCGAAAGGUUGUAAAGUUCUUUUGCUAGGGGAGAAUAAGUGUGGGAGGGAAUGCCUGCACGAUGACAAGGACUAGCGAAUAAGUCCCGGCCAACUACGUG